GCAAGUCGAGCGCUACCUUCGGGUGGAGCGGCGGACGGGUUAGUAACGCGUGGGAACAUACCCUUUUCUACGGAAUAGCCUCGGGAAACUGAGAGUAAUACCGUAUAAGCCCUUCGGGGGAAAGAUUUAUCGGGAAAGGAUUGGCACGCGUUAGAUUAGAGAGUUGGUGGGGUAAGGGAGUACAAAGACUACGAUCUAUAGGUGGUUUGAGAGGAUGAUC
RNAcentral lists this ribosomal RNA (220 nucleotides) under uncultured bacterium. RNAcentral's name for it is "partial 16S ribosomal RNA". It matches the Rfam family "Bacterial small subunit ribosomal RNA", at positions 57 to 305 of the family's 1533-position model. The record is from RNAcentral.